Molecule: ribosomal RNA, 253 nt
Filed under: uncultured bacterium
Lineage: Bacteria
Description: partial 16S ribosomal RNA
Rfam family: Bacterial small subunit ribosomal RNA
Source: RNAcentral
UACAGAGGUCUCAAGCGUUAAUCGGAAUUACUGGGCUUAAAGGGUCCGCAGGCGGCCCAGCAAGUACCUUGUGAAAUCUCAGGUCUCAACCCUGAGUCUGCUGGGUAGACUGCUGGUCUUGAGUGCAAAAGGGGUCGCUGGAACUCUAGGUGGAGCGGUGAAAUGCGUAGAUAUCUAGAGGAACGCCAAAGGUGAAGACAGGCGACUGGUUUGCAACUGACGCUCAUGGACGAAAGCGUGGGGAUCAAACGGG